GUCCGAGCUUGAUAAACAUUUUGACACUAUUCAGCCUAUUGAUGAGGAAGCCGUCAAUGUCGAACCAUCCGAUUCAAAUCGUAAUGAUGAUUUGCCUGUUAAGGAUUCUAUAUCCCAAACGGGAGACGAUGUAACCCCUUGCUCAAAUGUUUUUAAAGUUGGCUUUACAACAUCGUUUGAUCAGAAGGAUGCUGACUUGGAUACGAACAGCGAACGUGACUUGAAGCGCAAUUUGAAUACCGUGU
Long non-coding RNA from Helianthus annuus (common sunflower), 245 nucleotides. RefSeq lists it as uncharacterized. The transcript has 3 exons. NCBI's taxonomy places the organism in Eukaryota, Viridiplantae, Streptophyta, Magnoliopsida, Asterales, Asteraceae. The record is from RefSeq and is a predicted model, not a curated record.